CAAAGAGGUUAUCCGUUUGCAUGGUAUCCCAGCCUCAAUUGUAUCGGAUAGAGAUCCAAGAUUUACCUCAAAAUUUUGGAAAAGUUUGCAAGAGGCUAUGGGAACCAAGUUAAAUUUCAGCACAGCCUUUCAUCCACAAACUGAUGGCCAAUCGGAGAGAACUAUACAGACUUUAGAGGAUAUGCUGCGUGCAUGCGUCCUUGAUUUAGGGGGCAGUUGGGAAAACUAUGUGCCACUGGUAGAGUUUGCCUAUAAUAAUAGCUACCAAGCUACAAUAAAGAUGGCACCUUACGAAGCCCUUUAUGGCAGAAGAUGUAGAGCUCCCCUUUAUUGGGAUGAAGUAGGUGAACGAAGAGUUCUAGGACCCGAAAUAAUUGAAGAAACUAGUCGAGCGGUUGAUAAAAUAAGAGCAAAAAUCAAAGCAGCUCAGGACCGACAAAAGAGUUAUGCCGAUAAAAGGAGAAAAGAUUUGACAUUUGAUGUUGGCGACAAAGUUUUCAUAAAGGUGGCGCCGAUAAAGGGAGUUCUGCGUUUUGGGAAGAAAGGAAAACUUCGGCCAAGAUUCAUAAGUCCUUUUGAAAUUUUGCAGAAAGUUGGAAAUGCAGCUUAUCGAAUCGCUCUACCAUUAGAAUUGUCAGCAAUUCAUGAUGUGUUCCAUGUAUCGAUGCUUCGACAAUAUGUAUCAGACCCAAGUCACGUGGUUAGUUAUCAACCAUUGGAUAUCAAACAAAACAUGACAUAUAAGGAAAAACUACUAGCAAUAUUGGAUCGCAGAAUCCAGCAAUUAAGGACAAAGGAAAUUCCGUUAGUAAGAGUUCAUUGGAGGAACCAUAAUGUCGAAGAAUCAACAUGGGAAAGAGAAGAGGAAAUCAAGACCAAGUAUCCAGAACUUUUCAACUAAGUUUAAGGUAAUUUCGAGGACGAAAUUUUUUUAAGGGGGGAGGGAUGUAAUACUCCGAAAUUUUAUGCUCGUUUAAAUUUCCGUAGGAUAGUGAUUUAACUUUCAAUAUUCUUUUUGGCCAUAAGGAAAAGGGGACACCACCUUUGUAGUGGUUAAUGCUAGAGGUAGUUAAUGAAUAUAGGCAUGAAGUGCUAAAUGUUGUGUGCGCAUGAAAUGAUUAUUAGUUAGUCGAAACUUAAGUCAAGUUUGAAUUUGAAUGAAGUGGAAUAUUUUGUUAGGACUUCAACUGACCAAACGAUUAAAUUAUUUUACAAUCUACAAUUUUUGAAUAUGUAAGUUGGAUACAAGUUUAAAUUUGGGAUAUGCUUUGCUAAUAAUAAAAGUUAGAGGGUUUAGAUUAUAUUAGUUGAAAAGAUAAGAGGCUUCCUUUGCAAAUCUAGGUUUUGAGGCCACUUAUUACCCUAUAAUCAACCCACUUGCCAUCCAUC
This 1389-nucleotide long non-coding RNA is filed under the name Olea europaea subsp. europaea. Lineage: Eukaryota; Viridiplantae; Streptophyta; Magnoliopsida; Lamiales; Oleaceae. The record is from RNAcentral.